AAAAAAAAGGCAAGCAGGUCUUUCAAGGCAUUCCAAGCAUAAGGAAGAGCAUGAAUGAGGCCUAGAAGGAUGCCAGUGCCCGACGUGACGUGGGAGCCCUUUUCCCAGAGUUACAUGCUGGGCCCAUGAUGGGUGUGGGCCUGCAUGGGACAGGAGAGCUUGUUGCAGAGAUGUGAUGCUAGGCUGAGGUGUCUUAUCCCGUGCAGUCUUUCCUGUCUGUCUUCCGCUCACUGGCGAUGCUGGAGAAGACGGUGGAAAAAUGCUGCAUCUCCCUGAACGGCCGGAGCAGCCGCCUGGUGGUCCAGCUGCAUUGCAAGUUCGGUGAGUGGGCAGCCGGCCAGCCAAGGGGUGCCUCAGCAGGGAGGUCGGCGAGGCCCACUGAGACCCUAUCGCCUAUCCAGGGGUGCGGAAGACUCACAACCUGUCCUUCCAGGACUGUGAGUCCCUGCAGGCCGUCUUCGACCCAGCCUCGUGCCCCCACAUGCUCCGCGCCCCAGCACGGGUUCUGGGGGAGGCUGUUCUGCCCUUCUCUCCUGCACUGGCUGAAGUGACGCUGGGCAUUGGCCGUGGCCGCAGGGUCAUCCUGCGCAGCUACCACGAGGAGGAGGCAGACAGCACUGCCAAAGCCAUGGUGACUGAAAUGUGCC
This 647-nucleotide long non-coding RNA is filed under the name Pan troglodytes (chimpanzee). Its description in RNAcentral is "long non-coding RNA NONPTRT002722". The record is from RNAcentral. Lineage: Eukaryota; Metazoa; Chordata; Mammalia; Primates; Hominidae.